This 380-nucleotide ribosomal RNA is filed under the name uncultured cyanobacterium. Its description in RNAcentral is "bacterial SSU rRNA". It matches the Rfam family "Bacterial small subunit ribosomal RNA", at positions 376 to 770 of the family's 1533-position model. The record is from RNAcentral. Lineage: Bacteria; Bacillati; Cyanobacteriota.
CGCAAGCCUGACGGAGCAAGACCGCGUGGGGGAGGAAAGCCUUUGGGUUGUAAACCCCUUUUCUCAGGGAAGAAGAAAGUGACGGUACCUGAGGAAUCAGCCUCGGCUAACUCCGUGCCAGCAGCCGCGGUAAUACGGAGGAGGCAAGCGUUAUCCGGAAUGAUUGGGCGUAAAGCGUCCGCAGGCGGUUGGUCAAGUCUGCUGUUAAAGGCCGAGGCUUAACUACGGUUGAGCAGUGGAAACGGACGAACUAGAGUGCGAUAGGGGUAGAGGGAAUUCCCAGUGUAGCGGUGAAAUGCGUAGAUAUUGGGAAGAACACCAGUGGCGAAAGCGCUCUGCUGGGCCGCAACUGACACUGAGGGACGAAAGCUAGGGGAGCG